ACACAGCUCAAAAUCACCAGGCGA
RNAcentral lists this microRNA (24 nucleotides) under Ananas comosus (pineapple). Its description in RNAcentral is "microRNA s0022_c026". The record is from RNAcentral. Lineage: Eukaryota; Viridiplantae; Streptophyta; Magnoliopsida; Poales; Bromeliaceae.